AACCUAGCACACCUGCGGUGUGUACCUGCGGAAGGAUCAUUACUGAGUGAGGGCCUUCGGGCUCGACCUCCAACCCUUUGUGAACACAACUUGUUGCUUCGGGGGCGACCCUGCCGUUUCGACGGCGAGCGCCCCCGGAGGCCUUCAAACACUGCAUCUUUGCGUCGGAGUUUAAGUAAAUUAAACAAAACUUUUAACAAUGGAUCU
Molecule: unclassified non-coding RNA, 207 nt
Filed under: soil metagenome
Description: partial contains 5.8S ribosomal RNA, internal transcribed spacer 2, and large subunit ribosomal RNA
Source: RNAcentral